Molecule: long non-coding RNA, 372 nt
Organism: Perca flavescens (yellow perch)
Lineage: Eukaryota; Metazoa; Chordata; Actinopteri; Perciformes; Percidae
Exons: 3
Source: RefSeq, a predicted model, not a curated record
CACACUCACUCAUCCCAGACGGCAGCUAGCAGCUAAGAGGUAUGUCAAUUGUCAACAUUUGAUGCUAAAGCUGUCUGAGCAUUCUGAGCAUGGCCUUUUCAACAUUCGCGACCACGGUCUGUUUCACUCACCAAUGACUUUGGCCUCCUCAUCUGUCAGCGUUUUGCUCAGGGCCGGAUAACGAUGACAGUGCUGGGUUUGUGCGUCUUUCUGCGUGACUGGGAGCAUCUGACAUGCCGCCACCACUGACGGAGGAGACAGAGAACGCGGCAAGUGCGACACAUAACAGGGAACAUCUGGGAGAGCAGUGGGAAGCAGAAGACACUAAAGUGGUCAGCAAGCAGAGGGGAUUUAUUGCACACAAGGGAUCUG